UGCUGUGGCGGCUGCUGCUGCCGGUUACCAUGGCAACCCCGGGCCCGCCGCCGCCGCCGCGCGAGCCCAGCGCCCGCUCCGCCCGCGAGGGGGCGGCCUCGGCGGCCGCGGGGCCCGGGCCGGGAGGGGGACGUGGCGGGGCGGGGCCGAGCCUCCCCGCGCCCGCGGCCUCUUCCCCCGCGGGGAGUGCGGCCCGGGCAGCCUGCGUGCUGCGGGACGUCUCUGCCGCCCGCCGUUCCCUCGGCCAGGCCCCGCCUCCGCGCUCGGGGGCCCAGAGGCUGCGGGCGGCCCUUGAGGGGGCGCGGGGACAAAGAGGGGCUGGGAGAGAGCGGGCCUGGGGGGGGCGGGGUGACCUCCGCUGCGGACGCCCAAGCCCACCCGCCCCCGACGCGCUGUUCCGGCGCCCGCGGGCAGCGCCGCCACCAAACAUGGACAACGCGCCCGCGCAUUUCGGCCGUUUCCACGCCGCGGCUCCCUGUGGGCCACAUCCGACCGGCGCGCCCCUGGGUCUGCACGUUUUUCUGCGGCAGCAAGGCCCUGCCUCACUGAGAAGUGGCACAGGACCGGCAAGUCCGCUCGAACCUUCGAAGCUUCUCUCACACUGGGGCAGAGGCCAUCCUGGCACCAGGCUGGAAGUCCGCCGCGUUGAGGACAGGACGCAGCUAAAACAUCGCUCUGUGGUUUCCCUACGAUCAGCCCCUGGGAUACAGAUCUGCCACAUUACAGGCUUAACUCGCUACAGGACUAAGGAAAUCAAUUUAUUCUACAUCAGAAAGAGACCAAGAGUUAGAAGAUAGCGCAGUGGGAGAAACACACAGAUCCAUGAGUUUGUAACUUUUCCAGCCUAUACGCAUAUAAAUACAGUUAAUGGUUUGCAUUUUAUACCCAUGGCUUGAAGUAGGUAAAGAUGCUCCAAAUAACAAGUGGGGAAGCAGGAAAUUAGAAUAUAUAAAAUGGAUGAUCUAACCCAAGAAUGGGCUUGGUCCCAAAGAGACUGCAGAACGUUUGCACUUCCUGCUGCAUCAUAGUCAUUAUUCAGUUCCAUGCAAAUUUCUGAAAUUGUAGGUACUGACUUGUGCAGGUUGAACACAGUAGGUGAAGUAAGAACUCAAUAAUACGUUUGAGUUAGGGAAACUCGCAGGCCUCUCUGUGGUCACAGGCCUGUCCUUCCGAAGCCCAGCUUGGACAUCGGUAGAUGGCAGGUCAGGGACAGGCUCUGUCACUCUGUGUGUGGCACAGUUAGCACGUGGGUUAGUAAGGACUGGUGCUACAUGCUGUGGGCAGAGGGGCAAGUUUAAGACCUUAUCCCUGUCCUAGCAGGAUUGUUAAUGGGGAAUUUGCAUUGUGGGUGGAGGCUGAAGGGCCACAGGUGCCGCGGGUUUGACUGUGACUGGGUGGAUGAAGGACAGCCGGCAGGAGAGUGCUAGUGAGGAAAGAAGGAACAGUGCCUGCAGACAUUGUGCAGACAGGUGGGAAAUAAGACUGGCCUAAGGGCAAGGGGCCAGGUGAGAGGGGACCCCAGAGCUGCAGAGGAGCCUGACCAGACCCAGGGGGAGAUGGAGGAACGUGUGGAGGGUUCACACAGGCAGGCCACUGAUGAGAGCUGUCUUAGGGAGCCGCCUGUUGCUGGAACAGCCCAGGAUGUCUGCAGUGACCCAGAAAUGAGGCUCCGAGGGCUGGCCAGAGGGAAGUUGCUAUAGGACCAUACAGCUGGAAAGACAGGAAGGUCAAGUGAGGACAGCGAAACCUCCAAUUAGAAGUGCCCUGUAGCAACUGGAGAGAAAGAAUUGAGAUUUAGGAGUUGUCAGCAAAGGGGUUGUAAAUGACAUCUCUAAAGAAGAGAAUGGAAAAUUGGAGAGGGGCUGGGGCACGGCCUCUACAAAGGAGAGGGAAGGAAUGGUCUGAGAGGCAGGAGAAGCAGCAGAGGACAUUGUCUCCCACAGAAAGCUUCCAGUGAGCAUUUUCACAGGGUUCUCUGCAGGAAGGCUCAAGUAGGAUGAGGCUGGAGUAAGGCCCUUCUGUCUGGUGGCAGAGGGCUCCCAGGUGACAUGGAGCACCCUGGUGAGAAAAUAGGUCGCCGUAUAUCAAAGGGAAAAGACAUGUCAUAGUCACAGUCUAAGAGACAUUCAGACAUACAAUAAUCAUACAGAUAGAUGUAUAAAUACAAAUUAUAAGCACUAAGGAACAAAGCUAGGAGGAAGGAUUUCAGAUUAUUCCUGAGAGUCUGAACUGGACUGAAGAGGAAAAGAUGCUACCAGAACAGCCAUGGCAGAGCAAGGGGCGGCCAUGUCAGGCAGGCUGUGGCAGGAGAUGAGGAGGUCUGCUUGCAUAGGGCGUUGGAGAUCCUGUUGGGGGCUUCUGAUUUUACUCUAAGAGUAGAGAAAGUUGACCUUCAGUUCGUAUCAUAGGUUGAACUGUGUCUUCCACAAAAUUCAUCUGUUGAAGUCCUAACCCCCAGGACCUCAGGAUGUUUCCUUACUUGAAG
This is an RNA transcript of Cebus imitator (Panamanian white-faced capuchin), 2485 nucleotides long. It is a transcript of the gene named collagen alpha-1(I) chain-like, with no coding region annotated. NCBI's taxonomy places the organism in Eukaryota, Metazoa, Chordata, Mammalia, Primates, Cebidae. The transcript has 2 exons. The record is from RefSeq and is a predicted model, not a curated record.